GUGGUGAAUAAUAUAAGCACUAACACCAUGAUUGCAGGUUAUGAGCUAUCCACAAUAUACACAUCAACAAUGCACAUGAAUAAUAUAAAACUCACCUGAUACUUACCUGUGCGUCCACAGCACCAAUUCACAUAUAUAUAUGCAUCAUACAUCAAUUCAUGCUUUUCAUAUACUUCUAUGCAUGACAUUUCAAAUCAUACUUUUCAUAUAAAUCUAUCCAUGGCAUUUUAAAUCAUACUUUCAUUUAAAUUCAAUUUCUGGGAAAACUCAAUAGUAUAUAGGUAAUACGAAAACAAAACUGCCCACUCACCUGGAGUUCGCCCUACAACUCCCUAGCACAACACAUCAAGGCGUC
RNAcentral lists this long non-coding RNA (355 nucleotides) under Malus domestica (apple). RNAcentral describes it as "long non-coding RNA (MDOM_LNC012262)". Lineage: Eukaryota; Viridiplantae; Streptophyta; Magnoliopsida; Rosales; Rosaceae. The record is from RNAcentral.